Molecule: non-coding RNA, 205 nt
Organism: Oryza glumipatula
Lineage: Eukaryota; Viridiplantae; Streptophyta; Magnoliopsida; Poales; Poaceae
Source: Rfam
AAUAUAUGACGCCGUUGACUUUUCGUCCGACGUUUGACCAUUCGUCUUAUUCAAAAAAAUUACGUAAUUAUUAUUUAUUUUAUUGUGACUUGAUUCAUCAUCAAAUGUUCUUUAAGCAUGACAUAAAUAUUUUCAUAUUUUCACAUAAAUUUUGAAUAAAACGAAUGGUCAAACGUUGGUAAAAAAUUCAACGACGUCAUACAUU